AGUGCAGGUGCUAGGUCAUAUUCAUGUGUGUUAAUUUUAUAAAUAGUUGCCAAAUUAUUUUCCAGAGCGGUUGUUCCAUUUUACACUCCCACCAGCAAU
Molecule: microRNA precursor, 99 nt
Filed under: Marmota monax (woodchuck)
Lineage: Eukaryota; Metazoa; Chordata; Mammalia; Rodentia; Sciuridae
Source: RNAcentral